GAUGAACGCUAGCUACAGGCUUAACACAUGCAAGUCGAGGGGCAGCGGUAUCGAAAGCUUGCUUUCGGUAGCCGGCGACCGGCGCACGGGUGAGUAACGCGUAUCGAACCUGCCUCAUACUCGGGAAUAGCCUUGCGAAAGUAAGAUUAAUGCCCGGUGUUUUCAGAGUCCCGCAUGAGGCUUUGAACAAAGAUUUAUCGGUAUGAGAUGGCGAUGCGUCCCAUUAGCUUGUUGGCGGGGUAACGGCCCACCAAGGCAUCGAUGGGUAGGGGUUCUGAGAGGAAGGUCCCCCACAUUGGAACUGAGACACGGUCCAAACUCCUACGGGAGGCAGCAGUGAGGAAUAUGGGUCAAUGGGCGGAAGCCUGAACCAGCCAAGUAGCGUGCAGGAAGACGGCCCUCCGGGUUGUAAACUGCUUUUAGUUGGGAAUAAAACGGGGCUCGUGAGCCCCCUUGCAUGUACCAUCAGAAAAAGGACCGGCUAAUUCCGUG
RNAcentral lists this ribosomal RNA (492 nucleotides) under uncultured bacterium. RNAcentral describes it as "partial 16S ribosomal RNA". It matches the Rfam family "Bacterial small subunit ribosomal RNA", at positions 28 to 507 of the family's 1533-position model. The record is from RNAcentral.